AUAAAAUCCGGUCGGCGACGAGACUU
RNAcentral lists this small RNA (26 nucleotides) under Arabidopsis thaliana (thale cress). RNAcentral describes it as "ATSL186690". Lineage: Eukaryota; Viridiplantae; Streptophyta; Magnoliopsida; Brassicales; Brassicaceae. The record is from RNAcentral.